Molecule: transfer RNA, 75 nt
Filed under: Deltaproteobacteria bacterium
Lineage: Bacteria; Pseudomonadati; Myxococcota; Myxococcia
Description: tRNA-Cys
Rfam family: tRNA
About the family: Transfer RNA (tRNA) molecules are approximately 80 nucleotides in length. Their secondary structure includes four short double-helical elements and three loops (D, anti-codon, and T loops).
Source: RNAcentral
GGCGGCGUAGCCAAGCGGUAAGGUGAGGGUCUGCAACACCCUUGUGCAGUGGUUCGACUCCACUCGCCGCCUCCA